CUCUUAACUAUUAAAAGUUUCGUUUUGAUCCUUUAACUUAAUUUUUGGUUUCGUUUUGGUCCCUUAACUCUUCCUCCGUCAACCACUUUGGUCCUUUAUGUUAGGAUGAAUGUAUUAAAGUUAAGGGACCAAAAUGAAACCAAAAAAUAAGUUAAGGGACCAAAACGAAACCAAAAAAUAAGUUAAGAGACUAAAACGAAACUUUUAAUAGUUAAGGGACCAAAAGGAAACCUAAAAAUAAGUUAUGGGACCGAAACGAAACUUUUAAUAGUUAAGGAA
This 279-nucleotide microRNA precursor is filed under the name Medicago truncatula (barrel medic). RNAcentral's name for it is "MIR2655 microRNA precursor family". It matches the Rfam family "MIR2655 microRNA precursor family". Lineage: Eukaryota; Viridiplantae; Streptophyta; Magnoliopsida; Fabales; Fabaceae. The record is from Rfam by way of RNAcentral.